Molecule: ribosomal RNA, 257 nt
Filed under: uncultured bacterium
Lineage: Bacteria
Description: partial 16S ribosomal RNA
Rfam family: Bacterial small subunit ribosomal RNA
Source: RNAcentral
ACGAACGCUGGCGGCGUGCCUAACACAUGCAAGUCGAACGCUUUGAAUGUUUACAUUCGGAGAGUGGCGCACGGGUGAGUAACACGUGGGCAAUCUGCCCGGAAGUCCGGGAUAACAGUCCGAAAGGGCUGCUAAUACCGGAUACUCUCACAUGAUCUCCUGAUUAUGUGAGGAAAGAAUAAUUGCUUCCGGAUGAGCCCGCGUCCCAUUAGCUUGUUGGUGAGGUAACGGCUCACCAAGGCGACGAUGGGUAGCUG